Molecule: ribosomal RNA, 923 nt
Filed under: uncultured Bacteroidota bacterium
Lineage: Bacteria; Pseudomonadati; Bacteroidota
Description: bacterial SSU rRNA
Rfam family: Bacterial small subunit ribosomal RNA
Source: RNAcentral
UGGAUCCAGACUUUGAUCAUGGCUCAGGAUGAACGCUAGCUACAGGCUUGACACAUGCAAGUCGAGGGGCAGCAUGAUUGAAGCUUGCUUCAAUCGAUGGCGACCGGCGCACGGGUGAGUAACACGUAUCCAACCUGCCGAUAACUCGGGGAUAGCCUUUCGAAAGAAAGAUUAAUACCCGAUAGCAUAGUUUUUCCGCAUGGUUCCACUAUUAAAGAAUUUCGGUUAUCGAUGGGGAUGCGUUCCAUUAGAUAGUUGGCGGGGUAACGGCCCACCAAGUCAACGAUGGAUAGGGGUUCUGAGAGGAAGGUCCCCCACAUUGGAACUGAGACACGGUCCAAACUCCUACGGGAGGCAGCAGUGAGGAAUAUUGGUCAAUGGACGAGAGUCUGAACCAGCCAAGUAGCGUGAAGGAUGACUGCCCUAUGGGUUGUAAACUUCUUUUAUACGGGAAUAAAGUGGAGUAUGCAUACUCCUUUGUAUGUACCGUAUGAAUAAGGAUCGGCUAACUCCGUGCCAGCAGCCGCGGUAAUACGGAGGAUCCGAGCGUUAUCCGGAUUUAUUGGGUUUAAAGGGAGCGUAGGCGGGUGCUUAAGUCAGUUGUGAAAGUUUGCGGCUCAACCGUAAAAUUGCAGUUGAUACUGGGCGCCUUGAGUGCAGCAUAGGUAGGCGGAAUUCGUGGUGUAGCGGUGAAAUGCUUAGAUAUCACGAAGAACUCCGAUUGCGAAGGCAGCUUACUGGACUGUAACUGACGCUGAUGCUCGAAAGUGUGGGUAUCAAACAGGAUUAGAUACCCUGGUAGUCCACACAGUAAACGAUGAAUACUCGCUGUUGGCGAUACACAGUCAGCGGCCAAGCGAAAGCAUUAAGUAUUCCACCUGGGGAGUACGCCGGCAACGGUGCAACUCAAAUGAAUUGACGGA